Molecule: long non-coding RNA, 3205 nt
Organism: Aethalodelphis obliquidens (Pacific white-sided dolphin)
Lineage: Eukaryota; Metazoa; Chordata; Mammalia; Artiodactyla; Delphinidae
Exons: 2
Source: RefSeq, a predicted model, not a curated record
CGAGCUGGAGGGUCGAUGCGGCGGGGCUCCGCUGCCUGAGCCUUAGUGGGCAGGAGAAGAAGUGCCUGGAGGGACUCGUGGCUGCGGGAUCCCCCCCGCGCACUCCUUUGUGCGUACUGGUGUGUGCGCGUGGUGUGCAAGGAUUCUGUGUGUUUGUGUGCAAGCGCGAGGUCCUGAGGUCCUCAGAGACGGUGAGGGCUCCGUCACCUGAAAUUCCGGACCCUUCCUGGCUAUUCUGCGAUUGUUUACAGCCACUAACGGUCUGGUCUUGCGGGCGAAGCGACUCAGCUGCGUUGCCCACCUUCGAGUCCAGGGAAGUGCUCCCAAGUGCCACGGUGCGGGAGGUGGGGGAGAGGUUAGGCCUGUUGGUUUGGCGUGUCUGGGCCCCGCCCUGAGUCCGACCCAGAGAUCCCGAGACAUGGGGCAGGGGGUGAAGGAGGGUGAGCGCGGGGAUGGGAUGGGCCCUGCGGGUCCGGCUGGAAACCAGCCCUUCCUAAACGCAAAAACGAAGAUCGGCUUGCGGGCCUGAUGUGGAGCGAUCUGUUCUCUCCUCCCCUGCUGCCCAACUCCGAGCUCCAGCUGGAGGGUCGCCAACCCCUCCCGCCAUCCCCAGGCUCCGGAGCGGGAGGCGGGAGGUCCGAGUAUCUGGGGAACGCAAGGCGGGACGGGGCCUCAAACUGCGACAAGUGCGACCUUUUGUUCAGACUCGACUCUCAGAUGGCGGCGCGCGCUUAAGUGCGAAACUCUUGGGGAGGGGAGGUCUUGUCAAAUGUGCAAGUCGGAAACUCCGAAAGGGCUGAGGGCUACCCAAGUACCUGGAGGGACGGGGGCGCCGACCGCACCUGCCGGGCGUCGGGGAGCUGGCGGGUUGCUUGGGGCCCCUGCCGCGCAGUGCCCCUUCCUCCCGCGCCGCAUUCCGCGAGUUCCUUCGCCCGCGGCCGGUCUUGGCCUCCGAAGUCCAGAGGCGUUUCGGACCCGGGCUAUCAAAGAGCCGCCCCUUUCCCUGUCGGCGCCCCUGGCCCCCCUCCCUCCUGCCCUGCCCUCUCCAGACCCGCUCACUGGAGAGGAAGGGAGAUGGGGCGGGAGGCGCGGCGGAAACCUCUCCCCGCCGCCCCUGCCAAAAAGCACAACACUUUCAGUGCCGGCGGGCCAGGCUUGCCCCCGUGAACAGCGGGGGACUUUGUUCUCGGCAGUUGUUUCCUGGCCAUUUGACCUGUCAGCUGCUGGGGAAAUGCUGCUGUUGACCUUUGGUUGAACUACUAAGGCGAUUUUGCUGAUUUUUCUUUCUCUACGAGGGCGGCCUUUGGCACCUCAGAUUAAACCAAACGCUCCUCCCUUCUCCUCCCAGCGCUUUAAGAGAAAGUGCCAGGAAGGGCCUUGCACCGGAAGGACCGCUAAGCCCGGCGAGCUGGGCGCAGGGGGCCCGGGGCCCCCGCCUGCCCUGGCGCCGAGCUGUGCCGGGAGCCACGCGGCCCCGGACCGGGUAGAGCGCCGGGCUGGGGUCCGGGCUGUUGACGCACGCCUCCUGCACUCCCUUGCAUGAUGCCGGCGUGCCGGCGCUCGUGGGGACGAGGAGAGAAACGUCUCUGGGACCAAAGUACCUUCGAGUGGCAGGGGCUGGCCGGGGUGUUCUCCGUGCCGCGCUGACCUCGAUCGCUCCUGAUUUGGAGCCCGAUCGCGCGCCUGCCUGCGCGGGCCCUGAACACAGGACCCUUCUCGAGGUCCUGUUUCUUCUUGACUUCUACUGGAAAGGCAUCCCUAAUGAGGGCAGAAGGAAAUGGGCGUGGUCUGCUCCCCCAGCGCUGCGGGAACGUGCCUCUGGGGGAGGACAGCCAUGCCUCCUGCACUCUUAUUCCUUGGAGAAGUGGAAUGGCAGGAAAUGUGGGCUCAUGGGCAGGGGGGAGCUGGGGACGGCGAACUAAAGGGAAACAGGGGGAGACAAGCCCCUUAGAUUAUCUUUAGUAAAUGCCUUAAUUGAUUAGGGGUUGGGUAAUUUUUUUCCCACCGGAGUUGUUCCUUUAUUUUGCAGCCAAUGGGCCUUCCUGGGAGUCUCAUUUCAUGUGCAGUGGUGGGUGUGGAAUAAAAGUGGUCAGACAUUAAGCCAGUGGAAGACUGAUUGUUGGUGUCUGCCGUCCUGGAGGGAGAGUAAAAACAGCUGGGCAUUUUCAGAAGCUCUAUUACCCUUCCUGGCCACAGGCUAUCUAAUUCUACCAAUUAAUUGCAUUUUUAAAGGCCGAUUUUCCCAUUUCUGCCACUUUGAAGGGCAGGAAGUUGGUUACUCAUUGCAGGCAGUUAAUAACUAAUACUACAGGCAAGAAUUCAUAGUUAAGAGUAAACUUUACUUUCUAUCAAUGAAAUACUAUCUGGCCUUUACAUUUCCUAAUAUUACCCAAGGUUUGCUAAAAGCAGUAACCCAAAUCACUACAUUUUCUGGUCUUUUGGCUAGUAAAAGCUUCCCAUUGGGAUAAACUUUUUUUUAAGCUCAUUUUAUUUAAAAUCCUGUAAGACAUUUUUAGGGACAGUUUAGAAAGUUUAGCUUUUCAGAUUUUAUUAUAGUACACGUCUCCUUUGAAAUCCCUUUCUCACUCCUCAUAGAUCCUUGGAAUAGGGUUUUAGACAACCGCUCCCACCCCAUCCACCCUGGGUCAGUAGAGAAAGACAAAAAGAGCAUUUUCUUACCCUAACAGAAGUCUUCCUUUACCUCCCACAGUCUCCAGAUAAAUCAGUCUGUUUUGCAGAAGAUGUCAGGUAUAAAAACAUUAUCUUACUUUUCCUUCUAUCUAAAAUUCGUCUCAGCCCAUGACCUUUGUCAGUCUUAUUCAAGUUCUGAUUUAAAAGCUGUCCUGGAGCUGUUUUGAGAAACUGGGAAGAUCAACUAAAUACUCCAACUUCUCCUUCCAGGUUGGAAGUCACCUACCCAGCAGUCCCCAGGCCUGAUCAUACAGACCUGACAUUAUGCUUCCUGUGAAAACAGCCACUAAGGCCCGUAAUGAAUGCUAUGGGUGGGGUUCGGGUGUCUGUCUUCUGUCUUUUCUUUCUCUGUGUCCAUUUGCCCUGUCCAUCCUCGUUUCCAGGAGGUCAGUGGCAUCAAACAGCAGAGUCCUGGGGGACGCUAAGGUUGAACACCUCUUUCACCCAAAGGCAAAAGGACUGGCUUUUCUCCUUGCAAACAGGACACAAUGCCCAUGACAGCCAAGAAUUGUUA